This 391-nucleotide unclassified non-coding RNA is filed under the name soil metagenome. RNAcentral describes it as "partial contains 5.8S ribosomal RNA, internal transcribed spacer 2, and large subunit ribosomal RNA". The stretch from base 1 to 122 matches the Rfam family "5.8S ribosomal RNA", at positions 35 to 154 of the family's 154-position model. The record is from RNAcentral.
GAUGAAGAACGCAGCGAAAUGCGAUACUUGGUGUGAAUUGCAGAAUCCCGUGAACCAUCGAGUCUUUGAACGCAAGUUGCGCCCGAAGCCAUUAGGCCGAGGGCACGCCUGCCUGGGCGUCACACGUCGUUGCCCCCCCAUCUACUCCUUCGGGAUUGCGGGGGGCGGAUGAUGGCCUCCCGUGCGCCUCGUCGCGCGGUUGGCAUAAAUGCCAAGUCCUCGGCGACGCACGCCACGACAAUCGGUGGUUGCGAAACCUCGGUUGCCCGUCGUGUGCGGUCGUCGCGCAUCGAGGGCUCGAAAAAAUUGCCGGGCUCCGGCUCGGCGUUCAACGCGACCCCAGGUCAGGCGGGGUUACCCGCUGAAUUUAAGCAUAUCAAUAAGCGGAGGA